CCUACGGGAGGCAGCAGUGAGGAAUAUUGGUCAAUGGACGAGAGUCUGAACCAGCCAAGUAGCGUGAAGGAUGACUGCCCUAUGGGUUGUAAACUUCUUUUAUAUGGGAAUAAAACGUUCCACGUGUGGGAUUUUGUAUGUACCAUAUGAAUAAGGAUCGGCUAACUCCGUGCCAGCAGCCGCGGUAAUACGGAGGAUCCGAGCGUUAUCCGGAUUUAUUGGGUUUAAAGGGAGCGUAGGUGGAUUGUUAAGUCAGUUGUGAAAGUUUGCGGCUCAACCGUAAAAUUGCAGUGGAAACUGGCAGUCUUGAGUACAGUAGAGGUGGGCGGAAUUCGUGGUGUAGCGGUGAAAUGCGUAGAUAUCACGAAGAACUCCGAUGGCGAAGGCAGUUCACUGGACUGCAACUGACACUGAGGCUCGAAAGUGUGGGUAUCAAACAGGAUUAGAUACCCGAGUAGUC
This 460-nucleotide ribosomal RNA is filed under the name uncultured bacterium. Its description in RNAcentral is "partial 16S ribosomal RNA". It matches the Rfam family "Bacterial small subunit ribosomal RNA", at positions 338 to 795 of the family's 1533-position model. The record is from RNAcentral.